GGGGAAUAUUGCACAAUGGGGGAAACCCUGAUGCAGCGACGCCGCGUGGAGGAAGAAGGUCUUCGGAUUGUAAACUCCUGUUGUUGGGGAAGAUAAUGACGGUACCCAACAAGGAAGUGACGGCUAACUACGUGCCAGCAGCCGCGGUAAAACGUAGGUCACAAGCGUUGUCCGGAAUUACUGGGUGUAAAGGGAGCGCAGGCGGGAAGACAAGUUGGAAGUGAAAUCUAUGGGCUCAACCCAUAAACUGCUUUCAAAACUGUUUUUCUUGAGUAGUGCAGAGGUAGGCGGAAUUCCCGGUGUAGCGGUGGAAUGCGUAGAUAUCGGGAGGAACACCAGUGGCGAAGGCGGCCUACUGGGCACCAACUGACGCUGAGGCUCGAAAGUGUGGGUAGCAAACAGGAUUAGAUACCCUGGUAGUCCAUGCCGUAAACGAUGAUUACUAGGUGUUGGGGGAUUGACCCCCUCAGUGCCGCAGUUAACACAAUAAGUAAUCCACCUGGGGAGUACGACCGCAAGGUUGAAACUCAAAGGAAUUGACGGGGGCCCGCACAAGCAGUGGAGUAUGUGGUUUAAUUCGAAGCAACGCGAAGAACCUUACCAGGUCUUGACAUCCGAUGCAUAGCACAGAGAUGUGUGAAAUCCUUCGGGACAUCGAGACAGGUGGUGCAUGGUUGUCGUCAGCUCGUGUCGUGAGAUGUUGGGUUAAGUCCCGCAACGAGCGCAACCCUUAUUGCCAGUUACUACGUUAAGAGGACUCUGGCGAGACUGCCGUUGACAAAACGGAGGAAGGUGGGGAUGACGUCAAAUCAUCAUGCCCUUUAUGACCUGGGCUACACACGUACUACAAUGGCGUUAAACAAAGAGAAGCAAGACCGCGAGGUGGAGCAAAACUCAAAAACAACGUCUCAGUUCAGAUUGCAGGCUGCAACUCGCCUGCAUGAAGUCGGAAUUGCUAGUAAUCGCGGAUCAGCAUGCCGCGGUGAAUACGUUCCCG
Molecule: ribosomal RNA, 997 nt
Filed under: uncultured bacterium
Lineage: Bacteria
Description: bacterial SSU rRNA
Rfam family: Bacterial small subunit ribosomal RNA
Source: RNAcentral